Molecule: long non-coding RNA, 797 nt
Filed under: Homo sapiens (human)
Lineage: Eukaryota; Metazoa; Chordata; Mammalia; Primates; Hominidae
Description: non-protein coding lnc-TANC1-2:1
Source: RNAcentral
UCAGAGAAACUGGCAGUAGCUCAGAGAUAGGACCUUAGCGCUUACACCGAGACUGCCAUUGAAACAAAUCCUAUGGGAGAAGAGCCAAGAGCAGGUACAGAACAACAGGUGGAGAGUAUGACACUGAUACCUGUGUCCCUGGGAGGAAACAAUUAAGAAUCUUUUAUCAUGUUUGCUUCAGUGCUCAGUGGUGUAGGUUGAAAGGGAAAGAAAAUGGUUGUCUUGGGGCCUAUGUACAGUACUUUUGCAUUUUUGUGAUGGGUACCGUCAAGCUUCUUAGCAUUACCAGAUGGCCUUCCCCCAAGUCUUCAUAUAAGCAUGUUAUACUCUGGAAAAUGUUUUCUAUUGAGAAGGAAAUUUAAAGAUUUAGAGGAAAUAUAUCUAUGAAAUAUGCUCAGCAAAAGAAAAUAAAUGUAUUUGUUCAGUUCUGUUUCAUUUGUUCCAGAAAAUAUAUGGAGCUUGAUGCUGUCUUGAAAAAGGAUAAAGAAAGUUUGACAAAGUAGUUCUUAGGAUUAAAAAUUGGUGUAUAAGAGGCAGUAGUUCAGAUUUAAAGUUUGGAUCAAUGUCAUGUGCAGUCAGUGACUACCCAUAUCUUGCUAUUCUUGUUGUGAUGUAUCAGAAGCUUCCUGUCACAAUAUUACAGCUGAGAUGGUGAAGAACAUCAUGUGUGUAGGAUCACAAACUUUUGACUCUCUUCCACUGGAAAACCAGGCCCUGAAAGCAGUUUUUAUAAAACACAGAAGAGAAGACACAACUCUUAUCUUUGUUUCCCAAAUGUUUGCAGUUGAUGACAAGGC